UUUGUUCUUACAUAGAUUGUUAAAUAUUUUUAAUUUAACCAAUCAUACACUUUUAUGCAUAUUAAUCGAUUUUCCAAUAUGUUUGCCGCCUUCUUUGUCUAAAUAGAUUCCAUCUUCUCUUGCUCUCCAGUCCCAUAUACCUCCUUCAUCCAUAAAACCAGAAAGCUUGAAUGCUGUAAAUUUCUGAUAAUGUUUAUAGUUAGGUCCUUGUUCCAAAUGACACAUAAAACGCGUCGUACGCCAAAAAUUAAUCAUAAAAUUGAUUUCAACAUGUUUGCCGAUUGGUAUUGUUUUUGGACCAAAUUUGUCAUCUUUGGAAUAACAUCCAAUCCUGAGAAGUUUAUUGAAUUUGAGUUCGUUGGUGAUCCUGAUUCCAGAGCCGAAUACAUGGUCAAGCAUGCAAAAACUAAAAACGAAUAAAAAAGACUAAACAGUUUUUCAUUUUUUUUGGGUAGAUAUUUAGAUUUUUGCUUUGUUAUUGGCUUUUGUGUUUCAGAUUUUAUAUAUGCACAC
This 513-nucleotide small RNA is filed under the name Arabidopsis thaliana (thale cress). RNAcentral's name for it is "ATSL110890". Lineage: Eukaryota; Viridiplantae; Streptophyta; Magnoliopsida; Brassicales; Brassicaceae. The record is from RNAcentral.